Long non-coding RNA from Dreissena polymorpha, 1223 nucleotides. RefSeq lists it as uncharacterized. The transcript is spliced from 3 exons. The record is from RefSeq and is a predicted model, not a curated record. NCBI's taxonomy places the organism in Eukaryota, Metazoa, Mollusca, Bivalvia, Myida, Dreissenidae.
CGUGGUCAUUUCUGGCAGUUGAGAGAAAAGUUUAAACAAGAAAGACUUGUUCAGAGUGCAGAGUCCAUUGUAUUUGUUUAAUACAUCGUAGCAUUUGGUUUCGAGCAAACGCACAACUAAAGAAGUCGUGAUUGAGAGACUGUGAGAGGUAUUCGAUUCCCUAAAUCGUUACCAAUACCAAUCUGGAAAAGAAUCACGGUUCGAUAUUCUGUAAAUUCUGUAGCUCAUUUAAGAACCCCUGAUUAGAAAGAGAACAAAUCUUGUUGUUGAUAAACCCACGAGUUACAAAUGGCGCCCAACGGGUUGAAAUACGAAUAGAGGCAGGUAGUGUGGAGCCGGUCGUGUCGUAGAGGAGCGGGUCGUUUUAGUCCUGUCGUAGAGGAGCCGGUCGUGUCGUUCAGGAGCAAGUCUUGCGUGUCGUGGAGGAGCGGGUCGUUCUGGUCGUGUCGGAGAGAAACGUGUCGUUCCGAUCUUAUUGUAAAGGAGCUGGUGUCGUGAACAUUCUUCAACUUCUUCAGACAUUAUUCCAGUGUACAAUUUCUGAUUUGGACAUACCAGAAAUAUUGUAAUAGAUAAUAGUGACCUUAUAUCAGUUUUCAUCUAAAAAAUCAUUCUAGUUGCUGUCGAAUUGUGUAUUGUUCCUGUCUACUGAGUGUGAGUACUAUUAUUAUCGAAACAAAUUGACAGAUAUUACAGUUACCGUUGUUCUUUUAUAAGUUUUAUAACUUAAAAAAAAGGGAGGGAUGGUUGAUACUGUAAUAUCUGGCAAUUUUCAUGUGUGCUAUUGUAAGUGUGUUAGAAAAAGAUUUCACAUAGUUUCACUAUUGCAUGAAUAUAAAUUAAUAUUCAGAUGAAGGUUCUAUUUACUAAUAUUUCUUUUUAAGUACAAUCUAAUCAUAAUUUCUACUCUUAACAUUUCUUUCAUAAACAUUGAGCUGCCUUUUUGAAGUCCCUGUAAAUUAUUUAAGUAGUAUUUGUUUACAGUUCACUGCAGAUUUCAUAUUCCACUGAAACUAUUGUUUUUUUGCAUUUCCUGUUUCUGGUAAUUUGGUUGGUCAGCAGUUUAUCUCCCUUGGUCUACUUUUUUAUUAUAUUUAUUUGAAAGUCCUAUUAUCUCCUUUUGUGUUGAAAUUUCCGGUUGCUAAUCUGCUGUGUACAUUUUCCAUUUUCUUAAGUUGUGUUGACAUUGACUGACUCUGACCUACGUAGUUGUUGCCAUACAU